This 70-nucleotide transfer RNA is filed under the name Camelus bactrianus (Bactrian camel). It matches the Rfam family "tRNA". From Rfam's summary of the family: Transfer RNA (tRNA) molecules are approximately 80 nucleotides in length. The record is from Rfam by way of RNAcentral. Lineage: Eukaryota; Metazoa; Chordata; Mammalia; Artiodactyla; Camelidae. RNAcentral also lists the same sequence under 2 other names.
GGAAAUAGCUCAGUGUUAGAGCACAUGCUUUGUAUGCACGAGGUCCUGGGUUCAAUCUCCAGUACUUCCA